GGAUGGAUCAUUCUUGAAUACAACCCCAACCUUCGAACUUUCGGUUCUUACCUUUAAAUACUUCAAAACUACUUUUGAAAUUAAAAACUCUUAACGGUGGAUGACUCGACUCUUGUAACGAGGAAGGACGCAGCAAACCGCGAUAAGCAGUAUGACUUGCGAACACUCGUGAAUCACCAGAUUUCUGAACGCAUUUGUACUCCUAGCUUCGGCUUCGAGUAUACUUGGCUCGGUAUCAUUUAGAUUUGCUACAUUGCUUUCUUAAGUGCUCGCACUGAAAGACUGCUGUAGUGUUGUGAGUUAUCCUCAGCUUGCUGAGUGUUAACUGUCUACUGAUCUCUUCUGAUCCAUUCUGCUUCUACAGUAAAUUACUACGGUUAAAGCUUUCUGGAUUGUUAAAGAAGUAAUCAAUUCUAAAUCCUUUUGAUCCGAGCUCAAGUAAGGUUACCCGCUGAAUUUAAGCAUAUAAUUAAGCGGAGGAAUAGAAACCAACAGGGAUUCCCUUAAUAGCGGCGAGCGAAAAGGGAUGAGCCCGAGAUGUGAAUCGAAGUGGCUUGCUGCUUCGAGUUGUGCAUCGUGGUCUUUACCAGCAAGUUUGGACGUCUAAGGUGCCUGGAAAGGCACGCCACAGAAGGUGAUAGCCCUGUCUUUGGCGUCUAAAGCUUACGUACGGUACUGAUCAAUUGAGUCACGCUCUUUGGGAGUAGAGCGCAAACAGGGUGGUAACCUCCAUCCAUGGCUAAAUACUGACAAGAGAUCGAUAGCAAACAAGUACCCUGAGGGAAAGUUGAAAAGCACUUCGAAAGGAGAGUUAAAAGACCUGAAACCGUUAAGGGGGAAGCGAGUGGCCGUGACCCAAGUGGCUUUCUGGCUGUAUUCACAACAGAGACGUUACGCUCUUUGAUUAAACUCUUUGAGUGUGGCUGAUCGGUAGAGUAUAAGUCAGACUUUCACUAUUUGACAUCAACUCUAGUGCUCUGAAUUUCUUUGCACGUAGGGUUGAGGACCUCCAGCUUGCUGUAUGUUGUCAAACGUGGCACGUCUACACGACCCGUCUUGAAACACGGACCAAGGAGUUAAACUAAUGUGCGAGUGUAAGGGUGUUAAACCUCUACGCGCAGUGAAAGCGACAGCUGUGAAUACCAAUGCAACAGCGGCCGACUAUGAAGUUCGAGCUUGAGCAUAUUUGUUUAGACCCGAAAGAUGGUGACCUAUACCUGAGUUGAGUGAAGCCAGGGGAAACCCUGGUGGAAGCUCGUAGCGAUACUGACGUGCAAAUCGUUCGUCAAACUUGGGCAUAGGGGCGAAAGACUAAUCGAACCAUCUAGUAGCUGGUUCCCUC
Molecule: unclassified non-coding RNA, 1342 nt
Filed under: uncultured fungus
Lineage: Eukaryota; Fungi
Description: sequence contains 18S rRNA gene, ITS1, 5.8S rRNA gene, ITS2, 28S rRNA gene
Rfam family: Eukaryotic large subunit ribosomal RNA (bases 425-1342)
Source: RNAcentral